RNAcentral lists this ribosomal RNA (254 nucleotides) under uncultured prokaryote. Its description in RNAcentral is "partial 16S ribosomal RNA". It matches the Rfam family "Bacterial small subunit ribosomal RNA", at positions 525 to 777 of the family's 1533-position model. The record is from RNAcentral.
ACGGAGGGUGCGAGCGUUGUCCGGAAUCACUGGGCGUAAAGAGCUCGUAGGCGGCUCGGUAAGUCAACUGUGAAAGCUCCGGGCUCAACUCGGAGAAGCCAGUUGAUACUGCUGUGGCUAGAGUCCGGUAGGGGAGCGUGGAAUUCCUGGUGUAGCGGUGAAAUGCGCAGAUAUCAGGAGGAACACCAGCGGCGAAGGCGGCGCUCUGGGCCGGAACUGACGCUGAGGAGCGAAAGCGUGGGUAGCAAACAGGA